UGAGCGGCAAAAGCUCAAAUUUGAAAGCUAGCACCUUCGGUGUUCGCGUUGUAAUUUGAAGAUAGUUUCCUUGAGUAGUCCUUUAUCUAUGUUCCUUGGAACAGGACGUCAUAGAGGGUGAGAACCCCGUAUGAUUUUGGAUACUACUCUUUGUGGGAUUCUAUCGAAGAGUCGAGUUGUUUGGGAAUGCAGCUCUAAGUGGGUGGUAAAUUCCAUCUAAAGCUAAAUAUUGGCGAGAGACCGAUAGCGAACAAGUACAGUGAUGGAAAGAUGAAAAGAACUCUGAAGAGAGAGUGAAAAAGUACGUGAAAUUGCUGAAAGGGAAGGGCUUGAGGUCAGACUUGGUGUUUAAUGAUUAUCAGUUCUUCUUGGACUGUGCACUCGUUUUUCACCGGGCCAAUAUCAGUUUUAGCGGUAGAGUACCCCUUGAAAUGUGGCUUCCUUCGGGGAGUGUUAUAGUCUUGGGGAGAUCUACUUGCUGGGACUGAGGACUGCGCUUCGGCAAGGAUAUUGGCGUAAUGACCUUAAGC
This 530-nucleotide ribosomal RNA is filed under the name Saccharomycopsis sp. RNAcentral describes it as "eukaryotic LSU rRNA". It matches the Rfam family "Eukaryotic large subunit ribosomal RNA", at positions 95 to 645 of the family's 3401-position model. The record is from RNAcentral. Lineage: Eukaryota; Fungi; Ascomycota; Saccharomycetes; Ascoideales; Saccharomycopsidaceae.